UCCACUUUAUCCUGGUGGCGGCUGCGGCUAUCUGAUUUGCACUUAGGCAUGCAAGUUUUUUGAUACUUUGUAUUGAAGAGCGAACUGCUCAGUAACACGUAGUUAACCUGCCCUAAAGUCAGGGAUACCCUCGGGAAACUGAGGUUAAUACCUGAUAGAAGAUGGAACCUGGAAAGAAUCAUCUUUCAAACUCGAGCUUUAGGAUGGGACUGCGGCUGAUUAGGUCGUUGGCGGGGUAAAAGCCCACCAAGCCGAUGAUCAGUAAGGGCCUUUAGCGAGGGAGCCCUGAGACGGAAUCUGAGACACUAUUCCGAGCCCUACGGGGUGCAGCAGCCGGGUAACUUUUGCAAUGCACGAAAGUGUGACAAAGCAAGUCAGAGUGUUUCUCAAUUUUGAGAAACUUUUGCCAAAUGUAAAAAGUUUGGCGAAUAAGGACUGGGCAAGACAGGUGCCAGCCGCCGCGGUAAUACCUGCGGUCCAAGUCGCAGCCACAAUUAUUGGGUCUAAAACAUCCGUAGCUUGUCAUGAAAGUUUUCUGUUAAAUCAUGUUUCUUAAGAUCAUGCUGCAGAAAAUACUUCAUGGCUAGGGACCGGCAGACAUAAGGAGUACAGCAGAGGUAGUGGUAAAAUACGUUAAUCUUUGCUGGACUAACAAGAGCGAAGGCACCUUACGAGGACGGAUCUGACAGUAAGGGAUGAAGGCUAGGGGCGCAAAACGGAUUAGAUACCCGUGUAGUCCUAGCAGUAAACACUGCGCACUAAACAUUAGUACCUCUUCGAGAGGUAUUGGUGCUGUAGCGAAGGCGAAGAGUGCGCUACCUGGGAAGUACGGUCGCAAGGCUGAAACUUAAAGGAAUUGGCGGGGGAGCACUACAACGGGUGACGCGUGCGGUUCAAUUAGAUUCUACACCGUGAACCUCACCAGGAGCGACAGCAGAAUGAAGGUCAGUCUGAAGGGCUUACCUGACACGCUGAGAGGAGAUGCAUGGCCGACGUCAGCCUGUGCCGUGAGGUGACCGGUUAAAUCCGGUAACAGGCGAGACCCGCGUGUAUAGUUGCUACGUUCAGAGCACACUAUACAGAUUGCCGUCGUUAGACGGAGGAAGGUGCGGGCUACGUUAGGUGAGUACGUCCCGAAUCCCCUGGGCGACACGCGCGCGUCAAUGCUAGAUACAAUUGGAUGCAACUCCGAGAGGAGAAGCUAAUCCCCUAAAGUCUAGCUUAGUUCAGAUUGAGGCUUGCAACUCAGCCUCAUGACGCUGGAACCCGUAGUAAUCGUUCGUUAGCAGCGAACGGUGAAUAAGUCCCUGCUCCUUGCACACACCGCCCGUCAAGCCAACCGAGUUAUGCUUUGGUGAAGUUCAUCUGAAAUGAAUCUUAGUAUGACAAGGUAGGUUAAGUCGACACAAGGUA
RNAcentral lists this ribosomal RNA (1413 nucleotides) under metagenome. RNAcentral describes it as "bacterial SSU rRNA". It matches the Rfam family "Archaeal small subunit ribosomal RNA". The record is from RNAcentral.